UACAGCGGUCUCAAGCGUUGUUCGGAUUCCUUGGGCGUAAAGGGUGCGUAGGCGGCGCGGUAAGUCGGGUGUGAAAUCUUGGAGCUUAACUCCGAAACUGCAUUCGAUACUGCCGUGCUUGAGGACUGGAGAGGAGACUGGAAUUUACGGUGUAGCGGUGAAAUGCGUAGAUAUCGUAAGGAAGACCAGUGGCGAAGGCGGGGCUCUGGACAGUUCCUGACGCUGAGGCACGAAGGUCAGGGGAGCAAACGGG
Molecule: ribosomal RNA, 253 nt
Filed under: uncultured bacterium
Lineage: Bacteria
Description: partial 16S ribosomal RNA
Rfam family: Bacterial small subunit ribosomal RNA
Source: RNAcentral